Ornithodoros turicata is the source of this 739-nucleotide long non-coding RNA. RefSeq lists it as uncharacterized. The transcript is spliced from 3 exons. The record is from RefSeq and is a predicted model, not a curated record. Lineage: Eukaryota; Metazoa; Arthropoda; Arachnida; Ixodida; Argasidae.
GCUCUGGACUCACCUAGUAGAACUUGGUUCCGGGGAUUGCUUGCACCGUCCACGUCGCCGUCCUCCUCUGGAUUGGCUUUCCUUUACGUUUUCACUAGGGGUUGUUGCUCGUAGAGUCGCUGUGAAGAGUCGGAGGCCGACGUCCGUGUGGGAAAGGGCCGCACGUCGCCAGUGGACAGUAGAGCUUCAGUUGAGUGCAGGUGUCCGGUGUCCGUGUCCGGAAAGGGCCUCACGUCACAAGUCGGGGUUGCGGAUCCUCGUGGGCAGCUCUCCGGUGACAGGCAUGCCGAUCUUCCUCCUCGCAGCAACACUCUUCACUGUGGCCCAGGAAACUAUUGGGACGUGCGUCUUCAUUGACAAGGCCGUCGCGCGACAGUUUUCUAGGAACCGCUGUCUGCUACUUGGUUCUUUUUGCGGUGUCUGAAGGUAAAGACGCUGCAGCACUGGUUGCCUCUUCGGUUCUUUCAAGGUUUGGGACAGUGAGAAGGGCUUUCUUGUAGUUUGUCUCGGGGAGUGCAGAGCCGUAAAGGGUGCAUUACAAUGCCGAAUCCUCGUCCUAAAGGUGAGCAGAGCGCACGUGCAAGGUCAGGCGUCCAUAUAUCUACGGGUAAUUCUUAGAAGCAAUAAAACGUGUGGCGAAGCAUCACACCGCCACUGCCAUAUCGUGACGGCAAACAUCUCAGUGAAUGGCAACUCUGCCACUGCCACCGCUUUCCCGUGAUGUUUCAACAUCACUAAC